AUUGAACGCUGGCGGCAUGCCUUACACAUGCAAGUCGAACGGUAACAGGUCUUCGGAUGCUGACGAGUGGCGAACGGGUGCGUAAUACAUCGGAACGUGCCUAGUAGUGGGGGAUAACUACUCGAAAGAGUGGCUAAUACCGCAUGAGAUCUACGGAUGAAAGCAGGGGAUCGCAAGACCUUGUGCUACUAGAGCGGCCGAUGGCAGAUUAGGUAGUUGGUGGGAUAAAAGCUUACCAAGCCGACGAUCUGUAGCUGGUCUGAGAGGACGAUCAGCCACACUGGGACUGAGACACGGCCCAGACUCCUACGGGAGGCAGCAGUGGGGAAUUUUGGACAAUGGGCGCAAGCCUGAUCCAGCAAUGCCGCGUGCAGGAUGAAGGCCUUCGGGUUGUAAACUGCUUUUGUACGGAACGAAAAGCCCUGGGUUAAUACCCUGGGGUCAUGACGGUACCGUAAGAAUAAGCACCGGCUAACUACGUG
Molecule: ribosomal RNA, 482 nt
Filed under: uncultured bacterium
Lineage: Bacteria
Description: partial 16S ribosomal RNA
Rfam family: Bacterial small subunit ribosomal RNA
Source: RNAcentral